GACGAACGCUGGCGGCGUGCCUAAUACAUGCAAGUCGAGCGAAGUUUUUCUGGUGCUUGCACUAGAAAAACUUAGCGGCGAACGGGUGAGUAACACGUAAAGAACCUGCCUCAUAGACUGGGACAACUAUUGGAAACGAUAGCUAAUACCGGAUAACAGCAUUAACUGCAUGGUUGAUGUUUAAAAGUUGGUUUUGCUAACACUAUGAGAUGGCUUUGCGGUGCAUUAGCUAGUUGGUGGGGUAAAGGCCUACCAAGGCGACGAUGCAUAGCCGACCUGAGAGGGUGAUCGGCCACACUGGGACUGAGACACGGCCCAGACUCCUACGGGAGGCAGCAGUAGGGAAUCUUCCGCAAUGGGCGAAAGCCUGACGGAGCAACGCCGCGUGAGUGAAGAAGGAUUUCGGUUCGUAAAGCUCUGUUGUUAGGGAAGAAUGAUUGUGUAGUAACUAUACACAGUAGAGACGG
RNAcentral lists this ribosomal RNA (467 nucleotides) under Gemella haemolysans. RNAcentral describes it as "bacterial SSU rRNA". It matches the Rfam family "Bacterial small subunit ribosomal RNA", at positions 28 to 475 of the family's 1533-position model. Lineage: Bacteria; Bacillati; Bacillota; Bacilli; Caryophanales; Gemellaceae. The record is from RNAcentral.